RNAcentral lists this ribosomal RNA (493 nucleotides) under uncultured Actinomycetes bacterium. RNAcentral describes it as "bacterial SSU rRNA". It matches the Rfam family "Bacterial small subunit ribosomal RNA", at positions 8 to 501 of the family's 1533-position model. The record is from RNAcentral. Lineage: Bacteria; Bacillati; Actinomycetota; Actinomycetes.
AGAGUUUGAUCCUGGCUCAGGACGAACGCUGGCGGCGUGCUUAACACAUGCAAGUCGAGCGGAAAGGCCCUUCGGGGUACUCGAGCGGCGAACGGGUGAGUAACACGUGAGUAAUCUGCCCUCCACUUUGGGAUAGCCCCGGGAAACCGGGAUUAAUACCGAAUGUUCACUUGGUCUCGCAUGGGUCCGGGUGGAAAGUUUUUCGGUGGGGGAUGUGCUCGCGGCCUAUCAGCUUGUUGGUGGGGUAAUGGCCUACCAAGGCUUCGACGGGUAGCCGGCCUGAGAGGGUGACCGGCCACACUGGGACUGAGACACGGCCCAGACUCCUACGGGAGGCAGCAGUGGGGAAUCUUCCACAAUGGACGAAAGUCUGAUGGAGCAACGCCGCGUGAGUGAUGAAGGUUUUCGGAUCGUAAAACUCUGUUGUAAGGGAAGAACAAGUACGUUAGGAAAUGAACGUACCUUGACGNACCUAUAGAAAGCCACGGCAACA